UGGGGAAUAUUGGACAAUGGACCAAGAGUCUGAUCCAGCAAUUCUGUGUGCACGAUGAAGUUUUUCGGAAUGUAAAGUGCUUUCAGUUGGGAAGAAAAAAAUGACGGUACCAACAGAAGAAGUGACGGCUAAAUACGUGCCAGCAGCCGCGGUAAUACGUAUGUCACGAGCGUUAUCCGGAUUUAUUGGGCGUAAAGCGCGUCUAGGUGGUUAUGUAAGUCUGAUGUGAAAAUGCAGGGCUCAACUCUGUAUUGCGUUGGAAACUGUAUAACUAGAGUACUGGAGAGGUAAGCGGAACUACAAGUGUAGAGGUGAAAUUCGUAGAUAUUUGUAGGAAUGCCGAUGGGGAAGCCAGCUUACUGGACAGAUACUGACGCUGAAGCGCGAAAGCGUGGGUAGCAAACAGGAUUAGAUACCCUGGUAGUCCACGCCGUAAACGAUGAUUACUAGGUGUUGGGGGUCGAACCUCAGCGCCCAAGCAAACGCGAUAAGUAAUCCGCCUGGGGAGUACGUACGCAAGUAU
This 523-nucleotide ribosomal RNA is filed under the name uncultured bacterium. RNAcentral's name for it is "bacterial SSU rRNA". It matches the Rfam family "Bacterial small subunit ribosomal RNA", at positions 355 to 895 of the family's 1533-position model. The record is from RNAcentral.